This 28-nucleotide non-coding RNA is filed under the name Mus musculus (house mouse). Lineage: Eukaryota; Metazoa; Chordata; Mammalia; Rodentia; Muridae. The record is from RNAcentral.
UCCGUGGGACAAUAAUCGGGGCCUCUGU